ACGGAAGGCAGCAGUGGGGAAUAUUGCACAAUGGGCGGAAGCCUGAUGCAGCGAUGCCGCGUGGAGGAAGAAGGUUUUCGGAUUGUAAACUCCUUUUAUCAGGGACGAUAAUGACGGUACCUGAAGAAAAAGCUCCGGCUAACUACGUGCCAGCAGCCGCGGUAAUACGUAGGGAGCGAGCGUUGUCCGGAAUUACUGGGUGUAAAGGGUGCGUAGGCGGGGAUGCAAGUCAGAUGUGAAAUGUAUGGGCUCAACCCAUGAACUGCAUUUGAAACUGCUGUUCUUGAGUGAAGUAGAGGUAAGCGGAAUUCCUGGUGUAGCGGUGAAAUGCGUAGAUAUCAGGAGGAACACCGGUGGCGAAGGCGGCUUACUGGGCUUUUACUGACGCUGAGGCUCGAAAGCGUGGGGAGCAAACAGGAUUAGAUACCCUGGUA
RNAcentral lists this ribosomal RNA (434 nucleotides) under uncultured Ruminococcus sp. RNAcentral describes it as "bacterial SSU rRNA". It matches the Rfam family "Bacterial small subunit ribosomal RNA", at positions 341 to 792 of the family's 1533-position model. Lineage: Bacteria; Bacillati; Bacillota; Clostridia; Eubacteriales; Oscillospiraceae. The record is from RNAcentral.